AGCCACGCUCCGCCCGCCCGUGCCGCAGCCGUGAGCGCGGACCGACCGGAGCCGGAGCCGCCGCCUGGCCGCGCCCGCGCCGCCCCCGCCGCCACUCCUGCCCCCGGGGCGCCCGCAGCGGGACACGCGCGCAGGUAACGCGGGCGGGCGCGGAGCCUCCACGGCGAGCUCGGCUCGGCUUAACUCGGCUCGGCUCAGGUCGGUUCCCGGCUCAGCUGGGCGCAGCUCAGCUCUCCUCCCCUCGCGGGGCGGCCGCGCAAGUUUGCGCGGGGCUCCGCCCUGCCACCGAGUGCGCGGGGAUGCGGGAGCGCAGCGGCCUCGGCACUGGCGGUGUCGCGGCGGCCGCGGGGCGGCCGGGGCUCGGGCGGAGAACGGGAGCCCGGUUUCGGACGCGGGGCGGUGCAGAGUGGUUCCCAAGAGAAAGGUCAUCCAAGAUUGUAAAUCAUUCACAGCUAUAAAGAUUAAUUGCCCUGUUACAAGGAUUGAACUGACUGGACUGUACAAGGACCAGCCAGCCAGAGAUAACUUAAUAGUAAAUAUUCAAAACUACCUUGGAUCCUGCCACAAAACUGCAGUCUCUACUGCUUCAAGCAUUCCACUGAAACUACAGGAGACCUAGGCAAGCCCACACAGAGCUCCCACAGGUGUAGCUGAGCACCGUCAGGAAUGUGUGGUGUGCAGACCAGCAUUACAGAACGGGGACCUCGUUUGCUUGACUGAUAGAUGCAGGACGUGAAAGUCAUCCAACUUUUGGAGCUGACAGCUAGAAAACCUCCAGCAGGUACCUUCAGAUUGACUAAAUCUGAGCUUUGAAAACAGGUGCAAGAGCACCCUGGCACUGUUGUGCAUUUAAUUUAGAAAUAUGCUUUAAAUAUGAGGUGAAAGUUUUGAAAAGAAUGUGUAUUACUUAAUUCUGUUUUCCACAGUGGGAGUUUCAGGAAUUUCCAUUCCCCUGAAAGUUAAGGCCACAUGCUGCAUGGGGAUUGACCAACCAAUAUAGGAGAGGGUGAGCAAACCUCUGAGAAUAGAAGCAAGAAGAUAAAUUAAAGCAGGAAGAUAAAUGCCAAUAAGAGCACAUUUGUGAAAUCAGUGGCAAGCUAAGAUGAGUUUGGGUACUAGAGAUCAAUGAUAUGGGAGGAUAACUUCUGUUUGCAUCUUUACUGCUGCUGGCACUCAGACUGACAGCAGCUGGUUUCUUUUUGAGCAGGAGAGAAAGCUCAGAGAGCAAGAAAUCCACUUGGCAUGUUUUGAAAUUAGAGGGGAAAGUCUGCUUUCUUUUUAUGCACCCAAAAUUAAAAUGAAAUUCUCUGGGUAUUUUGCAAAGGGAACUUGUCUCAGCACAGCAGUUGUCUGUUGAAACCAGCAGAUUAUACUGUUAUUCCUUCCCUCUCUGUCUCUGAAACUGUGACUAUAGGAAGAUGGUGCAGAAGGGGUUUCUGAGCACCACAGACCUUUGUGGGGCCCUGGGUGUCCAACCAGGGUCUGAAGAGAUCGUGUUGUGACUUUUUCCAGUGCUCCUUCCUCAUGGAAAUGAGGACACAUGGUAGGGAAGAGCUCGUCUCUCACCUGAGGCAGAAGGCUGCUGUAGCACAGAAGGAAUGGAGCGGGUGAGCCUAUGCUGGAAUUCAGAGGCACUCCUGCUAAACUUCUUCAGUACUGAUGCAUCUCAACAAAAUAUGUCUACUUCAGAAAACCAGAAUAUUCACUUCUUGCUUUUAGAGAAUUCUGUUGAAAACACAAUGAACCCUUCUGCUAAAUCCAUACUGAAGGAGCUUUAUGUGGAGGUGUAGAAAUCAACAAAACCUGGAAACAGUCUUUCAUUUAAACUUUCAAGAAGAAUUCAGUAAACAUUAAACAUGUUACAAUAUAACACUACAUAAAAUUUUGUUCCUUGUUCCUAUUCUUAACAUUUUAUUGCUUUAUCCAGGGCAAAAGUUAUGUAGAAAAAGUUAUGUAGAGUUACAUUUAGGAAACAGAAAAAUUUCAGCAGAUUUGGGAAGAUCAUACCAUUUUCAGCUGGUUACUAGCAACUCAGAAAUUAGCUCAGAAAAGUUAAGUAAAAACCUAUUAAUUUCAUCAGCUAAGAGUUGUAUAAAGAGAAGCCCACCAAAAUGAACACUUGUGAUAAUACCAAUAGAAAUAGAGAUUAGAUCACUCACAGAAUCUCUAGUCUGCUCCUUUAAAGUUGGUCUAGAGGCAAAUGUAGUCUCAGAUAGCAUUGUUUAUCUAUUAUAUGGUUUUCCACCAUUUCAUUAAAGACUAGAAGAAACUGAACAGAAAUAAUACGCAUUAAUGCCUCUGCUUAUAUGCACACAAUUAUAAUAUUUAGGUUAUCCAAUUUCAUGUAUUCAGUUCUUAAUUCUAUUUUAGCUGUUAAAAAGCACUUUAACAUUGAGGUAAAUGGGGAAGGCUGACUUCUUUUCACCUCUUUCCAACAUAUAACCUGCAAGAUCUUUUUUUAUAAAUAUAUGCAUAUAUAUACUCUUACUUGGAGGACGUUCACAUCACAAUACAGUUAGUGAACAUUCUCAGGUUGUUUUAUGGUUUGAGCUUCCCUUUGGCUCAAACCACAACAUUAGGAACACACAUGAUAUAAAGGAAGGAGCAUAUCUGCAUGUGUGGAGGGAAACAAAUAAUAUUAUUGCAUUUUGAAAAUGUCAGCAGGGUACAGCUCACUGAGGAUUGCUACUGUCUUGAAGAGCCCUACCUUUUUUAGAUGAUGGUUAUAGCCUUCUGCUCUAUUUAUGUAUGCUUUGGGUUUGUAGAUCUUUUUUGUUUUCUCUUAUGUAAGAUUUCUAAACAUUAAGGAGUUUUGUAGAGGACAUUGGCACUCCAGGGAAUUUUGACUUUGAAACUAUAGUACACACAGGUGUUUUAAGAUAAAUGGAGGUUUGAACUGAAUUCUCAUGUCUUUCUGUUUGUUCUAAAAUGAAGACUAAUAUAUGAAGAUUCAGUAGGCAGAAUAACUUUGUGCUGAGCUAGGUUUAACACUAGAUGAUUCUGUGCUGAAUAAGUGGCAGUUCACUGAAAUUUUCAAAUGGCUCUGUGGAGUUUGCUUCCAGUUAACGCUGUCCUCUCUAUAUUACAUCCAAUUACUUUAGGUGUUUUUUAGUUUUCCUUUCUGCGUGAGCACAGUUCUACUAUAUUCAGCACUUAGUAGAAGAUGUUUUCUAUACAUACCACAUUAGGAAUUCCAUCUUGGAUUACUGCCGGUGGAUUUUCUGAUCCUUUUUGAAAGCUCUUACCUAUUUUGUGUUAGUUCACUACUAGCAAGGUAAGAAAUACUACUGCAGUUGUUAGCAUAUGUAUUUUCAGGUGGCUUCUUUAUAAUUUGCAAUGAUAUAAUGAUUAGGCAUCUGCCCAGAUGGUGACUGUAAUUUCCUUACUCAUAUCAAUGGGCUGUUAUUCACAUGAGUAAUCUCACCGACUCGAGGUGUAUUGCUUUUGUAGCUAACUGUUCCCUCAUGGAAAGCCUGACAAUAUGUUCUCUAGCAAAGGACAUUUAAAAGGCAGCAUCAUAAUGCACACCUGUAAAUUGCUAUUCUCCCAUGUGAGCAUCUAGGUAGGAGGCCUAGGAGUGCUGAACACCAAAUGAUAAAACCUACUUAGUUAAUUCAUGUUGACCUGAAGUUAUGCAGGAUCUGCCUCACAAUAGACUAACAUCACUAGUAAUUUAUUUGCAUUGAGGUGAUACAAGGUACAAAAAUUCAUGUAUUUUUUACACUGAUUAACAGCAAUAUCAUCAUUUCUUGAGAUGUUAAUUAAUGCCUUUCUU
RNAcentral lists this long non-coding RNA (3775 nucleotides) under Cyanoderma ruficeps (rufous-capped babbler). RNAcentral's name for it is "lncRNA (ENSCRFG00000003804.1)". Lineage: Eukaryota; Metazoa; Chordata; Aves; Passeriformes; Timaliidae. The record is from RNAcentral.